AUACGGAGGGUGCAAGCGUUACUCGGAAUCACUGGGCGUAAAGCGCGCGCAGGCGGGCUGAUAAGUUGGAUGUGAAAGCCUACGGCUCAACCGUAGAACUGCAUCCAAAACUGUCAGUCUAGAGUCUGGGAGGGGAAGAUGGAAUUAGUUGUGUAGGGGUAAAAUCCGUAGAGAUAACUAGGAAUACCAAAAGUGAAGGCGAUCUUCUGGAACAGUACUGACGCUGAGGCGCGAAAGCGUGGGGAGCAAACAGGAUUAGAAACCCUAGUAGUCC
Molecule: ribosomal RNA, 274 nt
Filed under: uncultured bacterium
Lineage: Bacteria
Description: partial 16S ribosomal RNA
Rfam family: Bacterial small subunit ribosomal RNA
Source: RNAcentral